AUACGGAGGAUCCGAGCGUUAUCCGGAUUUAUUGGGUUUAAAGGAUGCGCAGGCGGCCAUUUAAGUCAGCGGUUAAAUCGUGGGGCUCAACCCCAUUCUGCCGUUGAUACUGGGUGGCUUGAUUGCGGUCGAGGUUGGCGGAAUUCGUUGUGUAGCGGUGAAAUGCAUAGAUAUGACGAAGAACACCGAUUGCGUAGGCAGCUGACCAGACCGCAAAUGACGCUCAUGCACGAAAGGGCGGGGAUCGAACAGAAUUAGAUACCCUGGUAGUCCGCACAGUAAACGAUGAAUACUUGUUUUCGGCGAUAUAAUGUCGGAGGCAAAGCGAAAGCGAUAAGUAUUCCACCUGGGGAGUACGCCGGCAACGGUGAAACUUAAAGGAAUUGACGGGG
This 392-nucleotide ribosomal RNA is filed under the name uncultured bacterium. RNAcentral describes it as "partial 16S ribosomal RNA". It matches the Rfam family "Bacterial small subunit ribosomal RNA", at positions 523 to 918 of the family's 1533-position model. The record is from RNAcentral.